CGGCAACAGCUCAAAUUUGAAAUCUGGCUCUUUCAGGGUCCGAGUUGUAAUUUGUAGAAGAUGCUUCGGGUGUGGCUCCGGUCUAAGUUCCUUGGAACAGGACGUCAUAGAGGGUGAGAACCCCGU
Molecule: ribosomal RNA, 126 nt
Filed under: Calycellina populina
Lineage: Eukaryota; Fungi; Ascomycota; Leotiomycetes; Helotiales; Pezizellaceae
Description: partial large subunit ribosomal RNA
Rfam family: Eukaryotic large subunit ribosomal RNA
Source: RNAcentral